RNAcentral lists this unclassified non-coding RNA (2295 nucleotides) under Hevea brasiliensis (rubber tree). The record is from RNAcentral. Lineage: Eukaryota; Viridiplantae; Streptophyta; Magnoliopsida; Malpighiales; Euphorbiaceae.
AGUCACUUCGCUAGCUCCUAGUCGGCAGCUAUCACUGUCACUGCUGGCGCUUAUAAGAUGAGGAUGCUGUGUGUGGUGGCCCCUGGCUUACUCUGUUCUUCCCCACUUUCCCUCACUUUCUCAUCCCCCAAACACCACCUGAAGCUUCCCUCCUCCUCCUUCAGGCCUUACUCUCGCAAAUCUCCGAUCAAGAUGUCAACAACAACUAUCGAACACAUUGUCCUCUUCAAAGUCAAAGACAACACGGACCCCACCGAAGUCAACACCAUGCUCACCUCUCUCAACGCCCUCGUCUCUCUUGACCCCGUGCUCCACCUCGCCGCCGGUCCACUCUACGGCACCAAAUCCUCUCCCAUUCCCUUCACUCACAUGCUUCACAGCCGCUACUCCUCCAGAGAUGACCUCAACGCCUAUACCGUACAUCCUAGCCACCUCACCGCUGUUAAAGAGUCGGUUCUCCCUAUCUGCGAUGACAUCAUGGCUGUUGAUUGGGUUGCCGAUGAUCUCCAAGGCCCCAUUGUCCUACCUCCCGGUUCCGCAAUAAGAGUGAUCUUUCUAAAAUUGAAGGAAAAUUUGGGCGAGGAAGUGAAAGAUGAGAUUUUGGCCCUUAUUAAAGGGAUCAAGGGGAGUUUUGGAGAGAUCAAUCAGAUAACUUGUGGAGAGAAUUUCUCUCCAGCGAGAGCCAAAGGUUAUUCAAUCGCCUCGCUUGCGGUUUUUCCAGGAGUGAGUGGAAUAGAGGCGGUGGAUUCGAAAGAAGAACUGGUGAACUUGCAAAGAGAGAAGGUGAAAGAUUGUCUAGAGAGCUUUAUUGUUGUCGAUUAUGUGGUGCCAUCUCCAUAGACUGCAAGUCUUUAAUCUUCACAUGCAUAUCAUGUCUUGUAUUUCUGUGCUAGAACUGGAUUAAGAUUUGCUCUAUAAUUGAUUUUGCAUAACUAAGGAUUCUAUAAAUUUGGAUUGUUUAGUUUGUCUACAUAUUUCCUUAUGCUUCGCAUUUGGUUUUCUUGGAUUGUUUAUAUGGCAUUUAUGAAACUAUUCUUGUUGAUGAGCUUGGCUUGGCUAAGGAUUAAAUUAUGUGAUCAUGAAGUGUAUUUUUGUGUAGAAAGGAUGAAGGUAGUCGCCUUGGAUAGAUUGAUACGGAGGAAAUAUCGAGGACGUUCUGCAAAUUUUGUUAUUGAUUUGAUCAUUUCCAUUUGGGUUUUGGAAAAUCAUUGGAAGGCUUAUGUUGUCUAUUUGUGGCCAGUCUCUCUCGUUGAAUUUUGGAGAUUGAUACUUGUUUGUGAUUGAAAUUGAGAAAGGAACUGUGUCUCCAAAUAUUCAAGUAUGAUUGAAUAUGCUGGAGAUUGUAGACUCUUGGGAAUUAUGGAAAUAUUUUUCCACUGAUGAUUUGAAGGUCAGAAGUGAAAAUUAGAUAUUCAAUCCUAAAGAAAAUAAAUAAAUAACUGGGUACUGCCAGAUAGAUUAUUACUAACUUUUGUGCUAGCAGUAUUUUCAUGGUUCUUGAGAUGGUUGCAUCACUGUGAAGACUGCACUGGAAUUGAAUAGCCACUGUUUAUUACAGUAAUGAUUAUGACUGCACAUGGUGCUAUUUGGGGGAUUUACUGUAUUAGGGUAGUGUAGGUAUAAAUUUUAUCAAGACAAGGUUUUGAUUAUAGAAAUUAUCGAAAUGAGAUGAAAAAUGGUGAGUGGAAAAGUGGCAAGACGGGACGCCAUUUAAAAUAGCGUCCGGAGACGGGAUGCCAUUCAAACCAGUGUCCACAGUGGGAUGCUAUUCAAACAAGCGUCCGAAGUGCACGGCAACUUUUUCAGUGAAUCUCUGCAGGUAGUCACGUCAGGCGUUGCUGAUGAAGCGGAUGUCAUUAUAAAUGGCGUGCAGGUUUCAGCUGGGACGCCAUUCACAAUGGCGUGCAGAGCUCAGGUCACUCACCUAGCGAAUCUUGCAGAGAGGGAUGGGAGAGUGCAGUGUGCGUGGGACGCUAAUAUUAUUGGUGUUCAGAGUUUAAAUUUGCUAUAUACACACCCUCAUCUCCCUCAGUUUAUGCCACACAUGAAACCGAACUCAUCUCCUUCAGUAUUGAUCAUCACUCUCUUCUUCUCAUUUUCUGUUUUGUUGGUGUAAAAUUAGUAGAGCUAUUGUCACUCUUCCUGCUUGGUAAACUAGCAACAACGAGAGGAGCUGCAGUCGUGGAAAGAAGAAAAGGUUUAGUUCGAUUCUUAGUUGGAACAACAUAAGUGAAGCUUGGAAAAGUUGUUUGUGCCGAAUUUUUGUCCUUGAAAAUUUAAGGUAUUUAUUUUGUU